AGAGUUUGAUCCUGGCUCAGAACGAACGCUGGCGGCAUGCCUAACACAUGCAAGUCGAACGAGACCUUCGGGUCUAGUGGCGCACGGGUGCGUAACGCGUGGGAAUCUGCCCUUGGGUUCGGGAUAACAGUUGGAAACGACUGCUAAUACCGGAUGAUGACUUCGGUCCAAAGAUUUAUCGCCCAGGGAUGAGCCCGNGUAGGAUUAGCUUGUUGGUGAGGUAAGAGCUCACCAAGGCGACGAUCCUUAGCUGGUNUGAGAGGAUGAUCAGCCACACUGGGAAUGAGACACGGCCCAGACUCCUACGGGAGGCAGCAGUGGGGAAUAUUGGACAAUGGGCGAAAGCCUGAUCCAGCAAUGCCGCGUGAGUGAUGAAGGCCUUAGGGUUGUAAAGUUUUNUACCNGG
Molecule: ribosomal RNA, 406 nt
Filed under: uncultured bacterium Riz1019
Lineage: Bacteria
Description: bacterial SSU rRNA
Rfam family: Bacterial small subunit ribosomal RNA
Source: RNAcentral